RNAcentral lists this long non-coding RNA (2538 nucleotides) under Homo sapiens (human). RNAcentral describes it as "HSALNT0026029". The record is from RNAcentral. Lineage: Eukaryota; Metazoa; Chordata; Mammalia; Primates; Hominidae.
CUAAGAAGAGAUGAGCAAUAGAAGCUGGCCAAAGCCCCAUUGAAUGGCCUCUACACCGGCUCACAGGGCACACCAAAGCCACUUCCUCCAUGGUUUAGAGGAAGAACAUCGGGACUGAGUGAAGAAGACUCAUUAGAUGCCUGUGGCUCUAUUCGAGGCACACUCCAGAAAAGAACAGGGUAGAUCUGCCGCUGAAAUAAACUAGCAAGGCACAACUCAACAGGAUUUGGACUCCUAAGUUCCCUGUGCCAGGCAAGGGAGCAGCUGAGAGUGUCUUCUCAGGAGCUGCAGUCCUGAAGCCUGGGGAACUGGGUCAUUGCUAGAAGAGGCGGCUCUCUGCAUGCCAGGAGAAACCCAGCCCAGGAGCUGCAGCCCGGCAAUCCCAGGACAGAAGCGAGAGUGCACCCUACAUCUUCUCAUUCUGCAGCCCUCAGCAUGGCACUUGGCACAGGGCAGUGGCUGGAUAAAUAUUUGCUGAGUUGUACUAAAUACAAAUAACAAGGUUUGAUUAAGGAUCGCAUGAAGGUUGGACACACCUUCUUGACAAUACGGAAAUAAUUUAGUUAAGAGUCACAGAUGCUCUACGCAGGAAAGAAAAUGAGUAAAAUAAAGGGAAACGUUUCCUACCUAUAGGGGGAAACAUCAUAAAUAUUAGACCCUGCACCUGAUGGAUCAGCUGGCACCACCCGGAUCAAUAAACUGGCUCAUCUGAUCUUAUGGCCCCAACCCAGGAACUGACUGAGCGCAAGAAGACAGCUCCACCUCCCUAUGAUCUCAUCCCUGACCAAUCAGCACUCCUGGCUCACUGGCUUCCCCCUACCCACCAAGUUAUCCUUAAAAACUCUGCUCCUUGAAUGCUCGGGGGAGACUGACUGGAGUAAUAAUGAAACUCCAGCCUCCCACACAGAUGCCCUGAGUGAAUUACUCUUUCUCUAUUGCAAUUCCCCCGUCUUGGUGAAUCAGCUCUGUCUGGGCAGCAGGCAAGGUGAACCCCUUGGGCGGUUACAUUAUCGGGUUGAAGUACAAACAGGCACACAGGGGUCCGCCAGGUGGGGAUUGGGCAGCCGCUGCUGUCUCUCUUCCCACAGCCAAUUUUCUUACUGGAGGAAACCAACCUUCACUCCACUCCACAAUGGAAUGAAUACACAGAGCAGGCUCUUUGUAUAUUUAUUGUUUACAAAAUCAGGCUCUGUUUACAAAACUUUUUUGUACUUGCUAUUUUUCACUUAAAAAAAAAUCACAGCCAUCUCUCUAGGCUAAUGUCUAUCCAUUGAACUCAUCUUUUUGAAUGGCUGCAUAGUAUUCCUCAGAAUAUACCUACUAUAAUUUAUCCAGCCAGCCCUCCAAGUUCCUUUACUAACAAGGCUUAUGUUGUUUUAUUUCACUACAAAAAUAAUUUACAAAAAUGAUUACAUGUAUUUUGCAUGUAUUUCCAGAAUAGAGUUUUCUAAAAAGAUAUCGUCACUUUACCAUUAAAAAAGAAAACAUUCCACGCCCUUUUUAGUAACAUGUGAUCAUGCUGGUUUCUGGAAGCGCUGGUCACCUUUAAUUUUAUUCCGUCCUUGGCUUUGGUUGAGUAAAGCCACGUGUCUCGUCAUUUCCUGGCCCCCAGGGAGGGUAAGCGUUCUCUCACACCCUCACCGUCCACAGCUCCUCGUCUGUGAAAUUGUGAUUCAUAUCCUUUGCCUGUUUUUCUUCUUUCUUUUCACAUUUUUCACAUUGAUUCAUAAUAGCUGUCUGUACACUGCGGUGCUAACCCCUUUGCCCACCUUAUCUGUCACCAGUAUUUUCUUACAGCUUAUUGUUGAUAUUGUUUUGUUGUUUUUCUAUUUUGCUCAUGGUAUUUUUUCCCAUGUAUACAUAAACGUUUUCGGUCAUUCAGUCAUUUGAAAAGAAUCCCAGUCUCCGUGGCCUGCAUGUGACUUUCUCACUAAGCCUUGCAUUUUGGGGUGAGUGGCCGAGCCCCUGACGGGCCUGUUCCUUCCGGUGCCCUCACCAGGCUCAGCCCUGGUUCAGGCCCUGCUCCCUCCUCCCAGCGAGUCCUCCUGGGGGGCUCAGCCCUGGUUCACGCCCUGCUCCCUCCUCCCAGCGAGUCCUCCUGGGGGGCUCAGCCCUGGUUCAGGCCCUGCUCCCUCCUCCCAGCGAGUCCUCCUGGGGGGCUCAGCCCUGGUUCACGCCCUGCCCCCUCCUCCCAGCGAGUCCUCCUGGGGGCAUCUGACUCCACUGACUCCACCCCUGGGCCGUGCUGUCUCCUGGUGAUGCUCAGAGGUGUCGGCUCCCUCCCUGAUGAAUGCCUGUCCCAGCAGAUGUGUGGCUACGGUGCUAGUGAAAAAAGCUCUCUUUGAUAGCUACAAAAAACACAAAUGUGACUGAAGAGCUGAUUUUAACAAGUAAUAGACAGUGUUCUGUAUUGCUGAUCUAUAGGGCUGUUCUGAGACUACAUCUGGUUUAUAUUCAGCAUUUUCUAUCUUUACUUCUCCCUAAUUCAGAUUUUAGUAAUGUGGUAAAAAAAAUUUAAAAUUAAAAAUUCAAAUAUGU